RNAcentral lists this long non-coding RNA (503 nucleotides) under Homo sapiens (human). RNAcentral describes it as "HSALNT0311857". Lineage: Eukaryota; Metazoa; Chordata; Mammalia; Primates; Hominidae. The record is from RNAcentral.
CAGGUUGUGCGUCUUUCCCCACGUGAGUCCACAUUCUUUUCUACCCUAGGAUUACUACUGGCACAGAGGAAGUUGAACCACUGUCCCCCUUUGGUUGGAUGUUUGCAAUACUUCUGCUUUUAUACUGCAACAAACAAUACUUGUGCUUUCCCUCCAUCUAGCACUGUGCCUCCAGGAGAGAGGGUUUUUUUCUGGUCGCCCCUGCAGACAUGACCCUGCUUGUCCCUGGCCAAUCCCAGGGCCAGACUGGAUUGUUGGCCCUCUGACUCACCCUAGAAGGCCUGGGGCUGGAGAGGCCUGGAACUCCUCGGAGAAGCCAAAGAUUUUGCAGAAUCAAGGAUGGAUGGAGUAUCAAAAUAAGGAACGGAAAAAACUGAAGAUAUACUAAGGAUUAAGGCCCAGGUUCAUCUAGUGUCCCCAGGUGCCAGGCAUUGUGCUGUGACUGUGAUGUGAAAAAAGAGGCCAGGACAACUGGGUCUCAUUCAGUCAGACUGGAGUGCAGU